RNAcentral lists this long non-coding RNA (1483 nucleotides) under Sarcophilus harrisii (Tasmanian devil). RNAcentral's name for it is "lncRNA (ENSSHAG00000028306.1)". The record is from RNAcentral. Lineage: Eukaryota; Metazoa; Chordata; Mammalia; Dasyuromorphia; Dasyuridae.
CAAAUAGUAAUUGUUAGCAAUUAAGUUAAUUUUAUCAAUGUACUUAGUCAAGCAGGUGAAUCUGUUCAUUUUUAGGUAUUUUAUUAUCAAAAGAUAAACAAUUCAACGAUCAAAUAAUUGGUCAUGUCAGUGAGCAAAGCAGCUUUCAGUAGGUAUUAUGCUUGUGGGUAGAUACCACAUACAAUGCAAAAAUAAAGCAAUUGUCUUAGGUUUCAUUCCACAGAUGGUUUUCAGUAUGAAUUUGUUCCCUUUCUUUAUGGGAUUCUAAUUCAUGGGUGGUAUUGUGGUUUAAUUUCAUAUUCAUAUUUAAAUUAUUUGUGUUUUUGUAAAAUGAAUGGAAAGAAAACAAUAAAGGCUAUUUGGUUGACUUAUACAGUACAGGAAGGUGAAUCAUUUAUGAUAAAACAGGAAAAGUGGGUUGAGACUAGAUUGUGAAAGGCUUUAACUGUCAAAGAGAAGAUUUUAUAUUUGCUCUUAGAAGUAAUAGGUUGUCACCAAAGUAUAUUCUACAAAGGUGAAAUCAAUAGCUUUGGCAAUGAAUUCAAUAUGGGGAAAGUGACAGAUAGUGAGGAGUCCAUGAUGGCAUCUAGAUGAUGAGCCUGGAGAUCUGCAAGGAAGGUGGUCAACAGUAAUAGAGAAGUUUGGAAGGUUUUUUUGGGGGGAGGAAGAUAACAGUACAAAUGAGUAAUUCUCAUGUAUCCAUCAUGUAUCUAUAUCCUUUACUGCUUUCAUUCUUCCUUAUUUGGCUGCUUGGUUUAAUGUGUUCAUUGCUCAUGUACCUCCAACAACAGACUGGGCAAAAGGAAAUGCUGAUCAUCAGGUCUGCCCAUAAGGCUGGGAUGAAGAUGCCGGCUAAAGUGAAUGGCUACAUCUUAGAAAUCACUUUGGUUUUUCUUAUAUACCAAAGUCAUGUCAAUAACUAGUGUAAGGAAACGUCUCAUUUGGCUGGGCAGUGGGUCCCUAUGAUUUUACCCUCUCAGGAACACAUAUUAUCUUAGUACAUAUGAAGGAAUUUGGGUCACCUUGUGUAUUUUACUAGCACUUAGUAAAAUGAACUUUUCACUUCUAAAAUAAUCACAGUAGUGUUAUGCCAAUUUUAUGAAUCAUUUCAUUGAUGCCAUCAGAAAAGCCAUUAUCAUAAUUGUUAUGAAGCAUAUACUGGCUAAAGGAUAGAAAUUGCAGAACUUUUCUGGAAGAUAUUCCCUCCUCACCUCUACAUCUCAGAAAGUUUCCUUCUAAGUUUAGUUCAAAUGCUUAUCUCCCACGUGACCUGUGGAUGCUGUGCUCUUCUUGGAUACUGGUGUUUUUCCUCCCUCCAUCCCAUUUCAUUGUACAAAAUUUUGCGUGUUCUUAGAAUUGCAAUGCUGUCUUCCUCAAUAGAAUGUAAGCUUCUUAAAAACAGGGACUGUGUCAUUUUUGUCUUUGUAUAUCCAGUACCUAGCAUAGUAGUUGGAAUAUGGUAAGUACUUUAUAAAUGAAAUUA